RNAcentral lists this ribosomal RNA (317 nucleotides) under uncultured soil bacterium. RNAcentral's name for it is "bacterial SSU rRNA". It matches the Rfam family "Bacterial small subunit ribosomal RNA", at positions 26 to 371 of the family's 1533-position model. The record is from RNAcentral.
AGAACGAACGCUGGCGGCAUGCCUAAUACAUGCAAGUCGAACGAACACUUCGGUGUUAGUGGCGCACGGGUGCGUAACGCGUGGGAAUCUGCCCUUGGGUUCGGAAUAACAGUUGGAAACGACUGCUAAUACCGGAUGAUAUCGAAAGAUCAAAGAUUUAUCGCCCAGGGAUGAGCCCGCGUAGGAUUAGCUAGUUGGUGAGGUAAAGGCUCACCAAGGCGACGAUCCUUAGCUGGUCUGAGAGGAUGAUCAGCCACACUGGGACUGAGACACGGCCCAGACUUCCGACGGGGCAGCAGUAGGAAGUAUUAGGACAA